Molecule: ribosomal RNA, 460 nt
Filed under: uncultured bacterium
Lineage: Bacteria
Description: partial 16S ribosomal RNA
Rfam family: Bacterial small subunit ribosomal RNA
Source: RNAcentral
CCUACGGGCGGCAGCAGUGAGGAAUAUUGGUCAAUGGACGCGAGCCUGAACCAGCCAAGCAGCGUGAAGGAUGACUGCCCUCUGGGUUGUAACCUUUUUUUAUAUGGAAAUAAAACAGGGUAUGCAUACCCUCUUGUAUGUACCAUACGACUAACGAUCGGCUAACUACGUGCCAGCAGCAGCGGUACUACGGAGGAUCCGAUCGUUACACGGAUUUAUUGGGGUUAAAGGGAGCGUAGGUGGAGUGUUAAGUCAGUUGUGAAAGUUGGCGGCUUAACCGUGGAAUUGCAGUUGAUACUGGCAGUCUUGAGUACAGUAGAGGUGGGCGGAAUUCGUGGUGUAGCGGUGAAAUGCUUAGAUAGGACGAAGAACACCGAUGGCGAAGGCAGCUCACUGGACUGCAACUGACGCUGAUGCGCGAAAGUGUGGGUAUCAAACAGGAUUAGAUACCCUGGUAGUC